This 427-nucleotide ribosomal RNA is filed under the name uncultured beta proteobacterium. RNAcentral describes it as "bacterial SSU rRNA". It matches the Rfam family "Bacterial small subunit ribosomal RNA", at positions 355 to 774 of the family's 1533-position model. The record is from RNAcentral. Lineage: Bacteria; Pseudomonadati; Pseudomonadota; Betaproteobacteria.
UGGGGAAUUUUGGACAAUGGGCGAAAGCCUGAUCCAGCCAUGCCGCGUGAGUGAAGAAGGCCUUCGGGUUGUAAAGCUCUUUUAGUCGGAAAGAAAGAGUUGCAAUGAAUAAUUGUGAUUUAUGACGGUACCGACAGAAAAAGCACCGGCUAACUACGUGCCAGCAGCCGCGGUAAUACGUAGGGUGCGAGCGUUAAUCGGAAUUACUGGGCGUAAAGGGUGCGCAGGCGGUCUUGCAAGUCAGAUGUGAAAGCCCCGGGCUUAACCUGGGAAUUGCGUUUGAGACUACAAGGCUAGAGUGCAGCAGAGGGGAGUGGAAUUCCAUGUGUAGCAGUGAAAUGCGUAGAGAUGUGGAAGAACACCGAUGGCGAAGGCAGCUCCCUGGGUUGACACUGACGCUCAUGCACGAAAGCGUGGGGAGCAAACA